RNAcentral lists this ribosomal RNA (406 nucleotides) under uncultured bacterium. RNAcentral's name for it is "partial 16S ribosomal RNA". It matches the Rfam family "Bacterial small subunit ribosomal RNA", at positions 30 to 526 of the family's 1533-position model. The record is from RNAcentral.
AUUGAACGCUGGCGGCAGGCCUAAUACAUGCAAGUCGAACGAGUGGCGGACGGGUGAGUAAUGUCUGGGAAACUGCCUGAUGGAGGGGGAUAACUGCUGGAAACGGUAGCUAAUACCGCAUACCAUCGGAUGUGCCCAGAUGGGCUUAGCUAGUAGGUAGGGUAAAGGCUUACCAAGGCGACGAUCCCUAGCUGGUCUGAGAGGAUGACCGGCCACAUUGGAACUGAGACACGGUCCAAACUCCUACGGGAGGCAGCAGUAGGGAAUAUUGCACAAUGGACGAAAGUCUGAUGGAGCCAUGCCGCGUGAGUGAAGAAGGUCUUCGGGUUGUAAAGUUCUGUUAGUGGGGAAGCGGUACCCACAGAGAAAGCCCCGGCUAACUCCGUGCCAGCAGCCGCGGUAAUUC